This 260-nucleotide unclassified non-coding RNA is filed under the name Hevea brasiliensis (rubber tree). Lineage: Eukaryota; Viridiplantae; Streptophyta; Magnoliopsida; Malpighiales; Euphorbiaceae. The record is from RNAcentral.
GGAGAUUAUACGAGACAAGCUUCUUACACAAGAGCCAGAUGUUCAACUUCUUGCCUAAGGGGGUCCCCAUACCACCUUCUGGUCCAUCCAAGAGACACAACUCGAUACAAAAUUGAGUAACCAAUCCCUUUUUGUGGUCAUAGUUUAAUUAAUUAGACUCGUCAUAUAUUUUUCAUUUCCAUUUUCUAGUUCUUGGGUUCUUGAAAUUUGCUUGGUCAGUGAAGGAUAAUGAGAUCAAAAUACAAGAAAUAGGACUUUUU